RNAcentral lists this ribosomal RNA (497 nucleotides) under uncultured bacterium. Its description in RNAcentral is "partial 16S ribosomal RNA". It matches the Rfam family "Bacterial small subunit ribosomal RNA", at positions 28 to 507 of the family's 1533-position model. The record is from RNAcentral.
GAUGAACGCUGGCGGCGUGCCUAAUACAUGCAAGUCGAGCGAACGGACGAGAAGCUUGCUUUUCUGAUGUUAGCGGCGGACGGGUGAGUAACACGUGGAUAACCUACCUAUAAGACUGGGAUAACUUCGGGAAACCGGAGCUAAUACCGGAUAAUAUUUUGAACCGCAUGGUUCAAAAGUGAAAGACGGUCUUGCUGUCACUUAUAGAUGGAUCCGCGCUGCAUUAGCUAGUUGGUAAGGUAACGGCUUACCAAGGCAACGAUGCAUAGCCGACCUGAGAGGGUGACCCGCCACACUGGGACUGAGACACGGUCCAGACUCCUACGGGAGGCAGCAGUGGGGAAUUUUGCGCAAUGGGCGAAAGCCUGACGGAGCAACGCCGCGUGAGUGAUGAAGGUCUUCGGAUCGUAAAACUCUGUUAUUAGGGAAGAACAUAUGUGUAAGUAACUGUGCACAUCUUGACGGUACCUAAUCAGAAAGCCACGGCUAACUACGUG